Long non-coding RNA from Herpailurus yagouaroundi (jaguarundi), 130 nucleotides. RefSeq lists it as uncharacterized. The record is from RefSeq and is a predicted model, not a curated record. NCBI's taxonomy places the organism in Eukaryota, Metazoa, Chordata, Mammalia, Carnivora, Felidae. The transcript is spliced from 4 exons.
AGAGAGAGGCUGCCUCCAGGACCCUGGGCCCGCCUGGCAGAGGAAGGGCGGCCUCUUCCCGUAAACAGCUCCAGGGCCCUGGAGGAGUCUGCCGGCAGGGGGCGCUGUGGCCCCACGGCCUCAGACCAGC